ACUUGGGGGCAGUUAGUCAGUGACAUCUGAAAGCUAGAAAAGUCAAGGAAAUGGGUUCUCCCCUAGAGCCUCUAGAGGGAGUUCAGCUCUGCCAAUAUCUUGAUUUCAGCCCUGUGAGACCCAUUUGGACCUCCGACCUCCAGAACUCCAUCCACACUGCCAGUGCCCAGAGCAGGCUGGAGAGGGACCAAGGAUGGAAAAGGAAGACCUCCUGCACAGGGUGUAUCAGUCUGGGUCCGAUCAGGAAAACAGAAGCCACUCUGCAUGUUUCAGAUGGGAACCCGAGGCACAGAGAGGUUCAGAAACUUCCCA
Molecule: long non-coding RNA, 312 nt
Filed under: Equus caballus (horse)
Lineage: Eukaryota; Metazoa; Chordata; Mammalia; Perissodactyla; Equidae
Description: lncRNA (ENSECAG00000050174.1)
Source: RNAcentral